GAUGAACGCUGGCGGCGUGCCUAAUACAUGCAAGUCGAGCGAACAGACGAGGAGCUUGCUCCUCUGACGUUAGCGGCGGACGGGUGAGUAACACGUGGAUAACCUACCUAUAAGACUGGGAUAACUUCGGGAAACCGGAGCUAAUACCGGAUAAUAUAUUGAACCGCAUGGUUCAAUAGUGAAAGACGGUUUUGCUGUCACUUAUAGAUGGAUCCGCGCCGCAUUAGCUAGUUGGUAAGGUAACGGCUUACCAAGGCAACGAUGCGUAGCCGACCUGAGAGGGUGGUCGGCCACACUGGAACUGAGACACGGUCCAGACUCCUACGGGAGGCAGCAGUAGGGAAUCUUCCGCAAUGGGCGAAAGCCUGACGGAGCAACGCCGCGUGAGUGAUGAAGGUCUUCGGAUCGUAAAACUCUGUUAUUAGGGAAGAACAAAUGUGUAAGUAACUAUGCACGUCUUGACGGUACCUAAUCAGAAAGCCUCGGCUAACUACGUG
Molecule: ribosomal RNA, 497 nt
Filed under: uncultured bacterium
Lineage: Bacteria
Description: partial 16S ribosomal RNA
Rfam family: Bacterial small subunit ribosomal RNA
Source: RNAcentral